UUGUCUCAAAGAUUAAGCCAUGCAUGUCUAAGUAUAAGCAACUUGUACUGUGAAACUGCGAAUGGCUCAUUAAAUCAGUUAUCGUUUAUUUGAUAGUACCUUACUACAUGGAUACCUGUGGUAAUUCUAGAGCUAAUACAUGCUAAAAACCCCGACUUCAGGAAGGGGUGUAUUUAUUAGAUAAAAAACCAACGCCCUUCGGGGCUCCUUGGUGAAUCAUAAUAACUUAACGAAUCGCAUGGCCUUGCGCCGGCGAUGGUUCAUUCAAAUUUCUUCCCUAUCAACUUUCGAUGUUUGGGUCUUGUCCAAACAUGGUGGCAACGGGUAACGGAGGGUUAGGGCUCGACCCCGGAGAAGGAGCCUGAGAAACGGCUACUACAUCCAAGGAAGGCAGCAGGCGCGCAAAUUACCCAAUCCCGACACGGGGAGGUAGUGACAAUAAAUACUGAUACAGGGCUCUUUUGGGUCUUGUAAUCGGAAUGAGUACAAUUUAAAUCCCUUAACGAGGAACAAUUGGAGG
RNAcentral lists this ribosomal RNA (520 nucleotides) under uncultured fungus. RNAcentral's name for it is "SSU rRNA". It matches the Rfam family "Eukaryotic small subunit ribosomal RNA", at positions 32 to 554 of the family's 1831-position model. The record is from RNAcentral. Lineage: Eukaryota; Fungi.